UCGACUUGGAGGUUGUGCCCUUGAGGUGUGGCUUCCGGAGCUAACGCGUUAAGUCGACCGCCUGGGGAGUACGGCCGCAAGGUUAAAACUCAAAUGAAUUGACGGGGGCCCGCACAAGCGGUGGAGCAUGUGGUUUAAUUCGAUGCAACGCGAAGAACCUUACCUGGUCUUGACAUCCACGGAAGUUUUCAGAGAUGAGAAUGUGCCUUCGGGAACCGUGAGACAGGUGCUGCAUGGCUGUCGUCAGCUCGUGUUGUGAAAUGUUGGGUUAAGUCCCGCAACGAGCGCAACCCUUAUCCUUUGUUGCCAGCGGUCCGGCCGGGAACUCAAAGGAGACUGCCAGUGAUAAACUGGAGGAAGGUGGGGAUGACGUCAAGUCAUCAUGGCCCUUACGACCAGGGCUACACACGUGCUACAAUGGCGCAUACAAAGAGAAGCGACCUCGCGAGAGCAAGCGGACCUCAUAAAGUGCGUCGUAGUCCGGAUUGGAGUCUGCAACUCGACUCCAUGAAGUCGGAAUCGCUAGUAAUCGUGGAUCAGAAUGCCACGGUGAAUACGUUCCCGGGCCUUGUACACACCGCCCGUCACACCAUGGGAGUGGGUUGCAAAAGAAGUAGGUAGCUUAACCUUCGGGAGGGCGCUUACCACUUUGUGAUUCAUGACUGGGGUGAAGUCGUAACAAGGUAACCGUAGGGGAACCUGCGGUUGGAUCACCUCCUUA
This 721-nucleotide ribosomal RNA is filed under the name Escherichia coli. RNAcentral's name for it is "bacterial SSU rRNA". It matches the Rfam family "Bacterial small subunit ribosomal RNA", at positions 812 to 1533 of the family's 1533-position model. Lineage: Bacteria; Pseudomonadati; Pseudomonadota; Gammaproteobacteria; Enterobacterales; Enterobacteriaceae. The record is from RNAcentral. RNAcentral also lists the same sequence under 1 other name.